RNAcentral lists this ribosomal RNA (373 nucleotides) under uncultured organism. Its description in RNAcentral is "partial 16S ribosomal RNA". It matches the Rfam family "Bacterial small subunit ribosomal RNA", at positions 527 to 896 of the family's 1533-position model. The record is from RNAcentral.
GUAGGUGGCAAGCGUUGUCCGAAAUUAUUGGGCGUAAAGCGCGCGCAGGCGGUCCUUUAAGUCUGAUGUGAAAGCCCACGGGCUCAACCGUGGAGGGUCAUUGGAAACUGGGGGACUUGAGUACAGAAGAGGAAAGCGGAAUUCCACGUGUAGCGGUGAAAUGCGUAGAGAUGUGGAGGAACACCAGUGGCGAAGGCGGCUUUCUGGUCUGUAACUGACGCUGAGGCGCGAAAGCGUGGGGAGCAAACAGGAUUAGAUACCCUGGUAGUCCACGCCGUAAACGAUGAGUGCUAAGUGUUAGGGGGUUUCCGCCCCUUAGUGCUGCAGCUAACGCAUUAAGCACUCCGCCUGGGGAGUACGGCCGCAAAGGCUG